RNAcentral lists this ribosomal RNA (595 nucleotides) under uncultured bacterium. RNAcentral's name for it is "bacterial SSU rRNA". It matches the Rfam family "Bacterial small subunit ribosomal RNA", at positions 297 to 883 of the family's 1533-position model. The record is from RNAcentral.
AGGAUGAUCCGCCACACUGGGACUGAGACACGGCCCAGACUCCUACGGGAGGCAGCAGUGGGGAAUAUUGGACAAUGGGCGCAAGCCUGAUCCAGCCAUGCCGCGUGUGUGAAGAAGGCCUUAUGGUUGUAAAGCACUUUAAGCGAGGAGGAGGCUACUGAAGUUAAUACCUUCAGAUAGUGGACGUUACUCGCAGAAUAAGCACCGGCUAACUCUGUGCCAGCAGCCGCGGUAAUACAGAGGGUGCAAGCGUUAAUCGGAUUUACUGGGCGUAAAGCGCGCGUAGGCGGCUAAUUAAGUCAAAUGUGAAAUCCCCGAGCUUAACUUGGGAAUUGCAUUCGAUACUGGUUAGCUAGAGUGUGGGAGAGGAUGGUAGAAUUCCAGGUGUAGCGGUGAAAUGCGUAGAGAUCUGGAGGAAUACCGAUGGCGAAGGCAGCCAUCUGGCCUAACACUGACGCUGAGGUGCGAAAGCAUGGGGAGCAAACAGGAUUAGAUACCCUGGUAGUCCAUGCCGUAAACGAUGUCUACUAGCCGUUGGGGCCUUUGAGGCUUUAGUGGCGCAGCUAACGCGAUAAGUAGACCGCCUGGGGAGUAC